This 65-nucleotide transfer RNA is filed under the name Benedenia seriolae. RNAcentral describes it as "tRNA-Ile". Lineage: Eukaryota; Metazoa; Platyhelminthes; Monogenea; Capsalidea; Capsalidae. The record is from RNAcentral.
CUGAUAGGGCUGCAAUAGCAGGUAAUUUUGAUAUAAUUAUAUUUAAAGAUAUUUCUUUCAUCAGU